Molecule: ribosomal RNA, 253 nt
Filed under: uncultured bacterium
Lineage: Bacteria
Description: partial 16S ribosomal RNA
Rfam family: Bacterial small subunit ribosomal RNA
Source: RNAcentral
UACGGGGGGGGCAAGCGUUGUUCGGAAUUACUGGGCGUAAAGGGCUCGUAGGUGGCCAACUAAGUCAGACGUGAAAUCCCUCAGCUUAACUGGGGAACUGCGUCUGAUACUGGAUGGCUUGAGAUUGGGAGAGGGAUGCGGAAUUCCAGGUGUAGCGGUGAAAUGCGUAGAUAUUGGGAGGAACACCGAUGGCGAAGGCAGCCUCCUGGGCCAGCACUGACGCUCAUGCACGAAAGCGUGGGGAGCAAACAGG